RNAcentral lists this non-coding RNA (29 nucleotides) under Mus musculus (house mouse). Lineage: Eukaryota; Metazoa; Chordata; Mammalia; Rodentia; Muridae. The record is from RNAcentral.
UAAAACGUGCUCGAAGAAGACUUCUCUCC